Long non-coding RNA from Passer montanus (Eurasian tree sparrow), 828 nucleotides. RefSeq lists it as uncharacterized. The record is from RefSeq and is a predicted model, not a curated record. NCBI's taxonomy places the organism in Eukaryota, Metazoa, Chordata, Aves, Passeriformes, Passeridae. The transcript is spliced from 3 exons.
GCUCCCCUGCUCUCUUCUCACAGCAUGAAGCCUCAGCAAAUCCCCAGUUUUACUCUCCAAAGAAGGACUGUAUCUUCAAUAAUGGUCUCCAUUCUGGAUUGAUGAGACUUCUGAAUACUUGUGCAUGAAAACCAGUGGCCUAACAUUCCAAGAUAACAGGAGAGCCAAAUUCUAGUGUCUAUAUGUGAUAGUGAGGAUUCAACCCUGGAAUCCUUUUGAAAGGGCACCUUUUGAGGAGCUUCUUCUGCUUCCCACUGACAAUACAUACUGGCAGCAGCAACCGAAGCCUCAGUCAGUGAACACUUGUAGAGAUGGAAGGUCUACUGCACACAGAAACAGCAGUACUCUGUUAAAAUAUUUCUUUGCUUAAUCAAUACUAAAGCAACUUGCAGCAUAUCUUGCAAUAGUACAUGGUAUUGAAACAAAAACUAUGUCACUUGGACACCAGAAGCUGUCAAUAAUUUGACCAAAAUGAGAAAUAAAGUAAAUUAAAAAUAUUGGGGUUUAUUCUCAUCUCAUUUAUGUUACCAUGCUGCAGCAAAUUAAGUUAAAUCCAUCAUGGUAUGUUGUAGCACUGGUGAAAUACGUGGCAAAUUGGGUCCACACUAUUUAAUAUGGCACAGAGUAUAAGCUUGAUGAUGGAUAUUUUCAUCGGUGUAUAAAGUCUCAGAAAUUCCUACUGGAUUUUACCAUUGUCAUUAAUUCGGGGGGAAGAAAAGAUACAAACAAUCAAAAUGGAGUUUUCUUCAAAUAUGAGAUAAUGGUUUUUAUUUGGCAUCUUUUAAGACCUACGGCAAAGAAAAUGCUUCUGUAUUCUAGACAUUCACA